Passer domesticus (house sparrow) is the source of this 1360-nucleotide long non-coding RNA. RefSeq lists it as uncharacterized. The transcript has 3 exons. The record is from RefSeq and is a predicted model, not a curated record. NCBI's taxonomy places the organism in Eukaryota, Metazoa, Chordata, Aves, Passeriformes, Passeridae.
CCCAGUAAACACAGUACAGAUGUCAAAGUGAAAAAUUCACAAGCUAUUCAUAACAAGCCAUCUGCUGAAAAUAAUUUGUCUAAACUAUUUGGGGAAAAUUUACGAAGUAAUGAAAAUGCUCAGAGAUAUUUGGGAAGAUUCUGACUACCAAAAAAUCAUGAAAGGGCCUAAUGAUAUGUUUUGGAUACAACCGAAAGCUUUACAGCUUGCUGCAGGAUUUGGGAUACUAAAUUCUCUUUGGCCUGCCAUGCUAAGUACUGGCUGCUCAGUUUGGAAGCACGUAAGCCUUUUUCACAUUUACGAUUACCCUACAAGAACGUGCAGUUUGGGCACAGUCCAUGGUCUGAUUUAUAUUCCCAGGGUGAUAAACGGCCAAACUCCCACUCGGGCUGUAUUUGGACUAUAUUGGGAGCCCAGCCUUUUAGAAAUUCAAUCCAUCCAAGCAAUACCAAGUCAUACCCAACCUUCACAGACCUUGCUCAAGAAAAGACAUACCUAACCUUCAACAAUUUUUCAUUCAGGACAAUUUGUUUAUUCAGCUCACUUACUGUCUUGGAAACAUCACUGGAGGAGACCUGAGCAAGCUGUCACAGAGCAGAGCUGACCUUGAAGUGCUGUGCCAGCAAGUUAGCCCCAAAACGGUGUUCAACACAGCAAAUUCCCACAAGGAGAUUGGGAAUGGAUGCAGUGCAGAGAAGGGGUUCAUUCCAAAGGAUAUGGGCCCUCAGGGAAGAAAGCCAAGCAUGUUGUGUGGUGCUGGUCAGUUUCUAUUACUGUUGGGUCUGAGUGUGUCCAUCACCACAUUGUGAAGAUGCAAAGCUGCAAAGCCACAAAUGCACAGAAGGUUGCUGCCUCACCUCACCUUUUCAUAGACCCGGCAAUUUUCCUUAUCGUUGGCAGCAACUGGGGAUAAAAUCUGCGUGUGAACUGCUUCCAGCAGGACCUGCCUUAUUCACCCCAUGGGACAGGACUUCCCUGCCUUCUCUCUGCCUGCCCUUUGCAGAGUUUCCAACAGCGUUCUGGCUCCCAGCAGCUCAGACUAUGGGGGUAAGGGGAGAGCUCUGUUCCAGGCAGGUUCCCUCCUCCCAGGCAUUGCUACUGGAGAGACACAGAAGUUUAGCAUCUCCCACCUGGCACCAGGGUUAUUUAUGCAACAUAUUCCCCCUCCUUUUGUCCAGAAAGCUGCAUCCCUCUCUCCCCACGACUGGGCUGACUCCUGAGGAGCAGAAACCCAACCCCGGGGCUCCAUCCUGAGGAAACUGUACCUUGCUGGGACAAGGACUGCAGAUGGCUGCAGCUGCUCAAGCCAACUGGGACGGCAGCCGCCGGCCCCCACGCAGCACCCCGCGGCUCAGGUGUC